AGAGUUUGAUCCUGGCUCAGGAUGAACGCUGGCGGCGUGCCUAACACAUGCAAGUCGAGCGAUUUACUUCGGUAAAGAGCGGCGGACGGGUGAGUAACGCGUGGGUAACCUGCCCUGUACACACGGAUAACGUACCGAAAGGUAUGCUAAUACGAGAUAAAAUAUUUUUAUCGCAUGGUAGAAAUAUCAAAGCUUUUGCGGUACAGGAUGGACCCGCGUCUGAUUAGCUAGUUGGUAAGGUAACGGCUUACCAAGGCGACGAUCAGUAGCCGACCUGAGAGGGUGAUCGGCCACAUUGGAACUGAGACACGGUCCAAACUCCUACGGGAGGCAGCAGUGGGGAAUAUUGCACAAUGGGCGAAAGCCUGAUGCAGCAACGCCGCGUGAGCGAUGAAGGCCUUCGGGUCGUAAAGCUCUGUCCUCAAGGAAGAUAAUGACGGUACUUGAGGAGGAAGCCCCGGCUAACUACGUGCCAGCAGCCGCGGUAAUACGUAGGKGGSKAGCGUUAUCCGGAAUUACUGGGCGUAAAGGGUGCGUAGGUGGUUUCUUAAGUCAGAGGUGAAAGGCUACGGCUCAACCGUAGUAAGCCUUUGAAACUGGGGAACUUGAGUGCAGGAGAGGAGAGUGGAAUUCCUAGUGUAGCGGUGAAAUGCGUAGAUAUUAGGAGGAACACCAGUUGCGAAGGCGGCUCUCUGGACUGUAACUGACACUGAGGCACGAAAGCGUGGGGAGCAAACAGGAUCAGAUACCCUGGUAGUCCACGCCGUAAACGAUGAGUACUAGCUGUCGGAGGUUACCCCCUUCGGUGGCGCAGCUAACGCAUUAAGUACUCCGCCUGGGAAGUACGCUCGCAAGAGUGAAACUCAAGGGAAUUGACGGGGACUCGCACAAGUAGCGGAGCAUGUGGUUUAAUUCGAAGCAACGCGAAGAACCUUACCUAAGCUUGACAUCCUUUUGACCGAUGCCUAAUCGCAUCUUUCCCUUCGGGGACAGAAGUGACAGGUGGUGCAUGGUUGUCGUCAGCUCGUGUCGUGAGAUGUUGGGUUAAGUCCCGCAACGAGCGCAACCCUUGCCUUUAGUUGCCAGCAUUAAGUUGGGCACUCUAGAGGGACUGCCAGGGAUAACCUGGAGGAAGGUGGGGAUGACGUCAAAUCAUCAUGCCCCUUAUGCUUAGGGCUACACACGUGCUACAAUGGGUGGUACAGAGGGCAGCCAAGUCGUGAGGCGGAGCUAAUCCCUUAAAGCCAUUCUCAGUUCGGAUUGUAGGCUGAAACUCGCCUACAUGAAGCUGGAGUUACUAGUAAUCGCAGAUCAGAAUGCUGCGGUGAAUGCGUUCCCGGGUCUUGUACACACCGCCCGUCACACCACGGAAGUUGGGGGCGCCCGAAGCCACUUAGCUAACCCAUUUGGGAAGCGAGUGUCGAAGGUGAAAUCAAUAACUGGGGUGAAGUCGUAACAAGGUAGCCGUAUCGGAAGGUGCGGCUGGAUCACCUCCUU
Molecule: ribosomal RNA, 1497 nt
Filed under: uncultured bacterium
Lineage: Bacteria
Description: partial 16S rRNA
Rfam family: Bacterial small subunit ribosomal RNA
Source: RNAcentral